UCUUCAUUGACUCAGCGGUAAAGAAUCUGCCUGCAAUGCAGGAGAGGCAGGUUCAAUCCCUGGAUCAGGAA
RNAcentral lists this transfer RNA (71 nucleotides) under Ovis aries (sheep). It matches the Rfam family "tRNA". From Rfam's summary of the family: Transfer RNA (tRNA) molecules are approximately 80 nucleotides in length. Lineage: Eukaryota; Metazoa; Chordata; Mammalia; Artiodactyla; Bovidae. The record is from Rfam by way of RNAcentral.